Molecule: ribosomal RNA, 345 nt
Filed under: uncultured Sphingobacteriales bacterium
Lineage: Bacteria; Pseudomonadati; Bacteroidota; Sphingobacteriia; Sphingobacteriales
Description: bacterial SSU rRNA
Rfam family: Bacterial small subunit ribosomal RNA
Source: RNAcentral
AGGUGCUGCAUGGUUGUCGUCAGCUCGUGCCGUGAGGUGUCGGGUAAGUCCCAUAACGAGCGCAACCCUACCCUUUAGUUGCCAUCAGGUAAUGCUGGGGACUCUAAAGGAACUGCCUACGCAAGUAGUGAGGAAGCGGGGAUGACGUCAAAUCAGCACGGCCCUUACGUCCAGGGCUACACACGUGCUACAAUGGCCGAUACAGAGGGCAGCUACCUGGUGACAGGAUGCAAAUCUCCAAAGUCGGUCUCAGUUCGGAUCGGAGUCUGCAACCCGACUCCGUGAAGUUGGAUUCGCUAGUAAUCGCGCAUCAGCCAUGGCGCGGUGAAUACGUUCCCGGGCCUU